This 1110-nucleotide long non-coding RNA is filed under the name Zonotrichia albicollis (white-throated sparrow). RNAcentral describes it as "lncRNA (ENSZALG00000008032.1)". The record is from RNAcentral. Lineage: Eukaryota; Metazoa; Chordata; Aves; Passeriformes; Passerellidae.
GCUGGGAUUUCAGGAUCAGUCAGGGAAUCGCGCUCUGCUCCAGCAUCCCGCCCUCCCCGAGCGGGAACAGCGGCGGGAUUUCAGGAUCAGUCAGGGAAUCGCGCACUGCUCCAGCAUCCCGCCCUCCCCGAGCGAUCAGAGCUGGGAUUUCAGGAUCAGUCAGGGAAUCGCGCUCUGCUCCAGCAUCCCGCCCUCCCUGGGCCAACAGCGCUGGGAUUUCAGGGAUCGGUCAGGGAAUCGCGCUCUGCUCCAGCAUCCCGCCCUCAAAGAGCGAUCAGAGCUGGGAUUUCAGGGAUGGGUCAGGGAAUCGCGCUCUGCUCCAGCAUCCCACCCUCAAAGAGCCAUCAGAGCCGGGAUUUCAGGACCAGCCCCGGGCACGGCGCUCCCAGGCCGGGCUCUCAUUGAGAAUUGUUUUGCCCGCACGGCGCUGGCUCCACCCCGGCCGCGCUCAUUGGCUCGGGGUUAUUUUGGCAGCCGGACUCUGCCCUGCCCUGCGGAGAUUUUAGGGAGCUGCCCAACCUCCCGAUGCUGCUCCCCGGCUAUGGGAGGGAUGGGAGAGCGAUAAGAGCGGCGAUAAAGGCUAAAAGGGAACAAAAACAAAGGGAUUCUGUUCCGCAGGAACAAAGCACGCGGGAAUUCCUGCUCCAUGGAAAGGCUCCACCGUCCUGGGAUGCAGAGCCAAAGUGCCCAACCUCUGCCAAAUCGAAGGAUGGGGGAGCUGGCAGCUCCCUGCCAAUUCCAGUAAAUUUUAGAGUCUAUGCAUUUAAAACAGAAAAAAACCCCAGGAAUGUUAUCUCCUUAUAAACACCAUAAAAGCAAGUUCUACUUUUCCAAGGAUAAAAUGCAACAUUCAGGAAAAGAAGUUAUAGACCAAGAGUGUAAGAGCACAAUAACUCCCUGAGGGAUUUUUUAAAAUAAGGUGACCAAAAGUGCAAAUACAAGAAAUGUUUUUAAAGGAGGAAGACUCAGGGAGAGCACACAAGGAAAGUACUCUGGUUGCACCAUGCAGGCAUCAAUCACAGCAAAUCCCUGCCCAGCGGGUUUUCCAUCAAAUAUCCCAAAACUCUUGCCAGGAACACCAGCGUGCCUUCCUCAGCUUCCAGCAAAGCC